RNAcentral lists this ribosomal RNA (460 nucleotides) under uncultured bacterium. RNAcentral describes it as "partial 16S ribosomal RNA". It matches the Rfam family "Bacterial small subunit ribosomal RNA", at positions 338 to 795 of the family's 1533-position model. The record is from RNAcentral.
CCUACGGGAGGCAGCAGUGAGGAAUAUUGGUCAAUGGCCGGAAGGCUGAACCAGCCAUGCCGCGUGAAGGUCAGUGCCCUAUGGGCGUUAAACUUCUUUUGUGCGGGAGCAAUAAUGGUCACGUGUGGCCAGACGAGAGUACCGUACGAAUAAGCAUCGGCUAACUCCGUGCCAGCAGCCGCGGUAAUACGGGUGAUGAAAGCGUUAUCCGGAUUUAUUGGGUUUAAAGGGUGCGUAGGCUGUGAGGUAAGUCAGCGGUGAAAUGCCCCCGCUCAACGGGGUGAAGUGCCAUUGAUACUGCCAUGCUGGAAUGCGGAUGCGGUGGGAGGAAUGUGUGGUGUAGCGGUGAAAUGCAUAGAUAUCACACAGAACACCGAUUGCGAAGGCAUCUCACGAAUCCGCGAUUGACGCUGAUGCACGAAAGCGUGGGUAUCAAACAGGAUUAGAUACCCCUGUAGUC